UAGGACAUCUAAACAGCCACAGACACAGGUAAACAGGUAGGCCAUCUAAACAGCCAGAGGUAAACAGGUAAACAGGUAGGCCAUCUAAACAGCCACAGACACAGGUAAACAGGUAGGCCAUCUAAACAGCCACAGACACAGGUAAACAGGUAGGCCAUCUAAACAGCCACAGACACAGGUAAACAGGUAGGCCAUCUAAACAGCCACAGGUAAACAGGUAGGCCAUCUAAACAGCCACAGACACAGGUAAACAGGUAGGACAUCUAAACAGCCACAGACACAGGUAAACAGGUAGGACAUCUAAACAGCCACAGACACAGGUAAACAGGUAGGCCAUCUAAACAGCCACAGACACAGGUAAACAGGUAGGCCAUCUAAACAGCCACAGACACAGGUAAACAGGUAGGCCAUCUAAACAGCCACAGACACAGGUAAACAGGUAGGCCAUCUAAACAGCCACAUGUAGACAGGUAGGCCAUCUAAACAGCCACAGAUAGACAGGUAGGCCAUCUAAACAGCCACAGAUAGACAGGUAGGCCAUCUAAACAGCCACAGAUAGACAGGUAGGCCAUCUAAACAGCCACAGAUAGACAGGUAGGCCAUCUAAACAGCCACAGAUAGACAGGUAGGCCAUCUAAACAGCCACAGAUAGACAGGUAGGCCAUCUAAACAGCCACAGAUAGACAGGUAGGCCAUCUAAACAGCCACAGAUAGACAGGUAGGCCAUCUAAACAGCCACAGAUAGACAGGUAGGCCAUCUAAUCAGACACAGAUAGACAGGUAGGCCAUCUAAACAGCCACA
Molecule: non-coding RNA, 802 nt
Organism: Salmo salar (Atlantic salmon)
Lineage: Eukaryota; Metazoa; Chordata; Actinopteri; Salmoniformes; Salmonidae
Source: RefSeq, a predicted model, not a curated record